RNAcentral lists this ribosomal RNA (301 nucleotides) under uncultured bacterium. RNAcentral's name for it is "partial 16S ribosomal RNA". It matches the Rfam family "Bacterial small subunit ribosomal RNA", at positions 509 to 807 of the family's 1533-position model. The record is from RNAcentral.
CAGUAGCCGCAGUAAUACGUAUGUGGCAAGCGUUGUCCGGAAUUAUUGGGCGUAAGGGGCUCGCAGGCGGUUUCUUAAGUCUGAUGUGAAAGCCCCCGGCUCAACCGGGGAGGGUCAUUGGAAACUGGGAAACUUGAGUGCAGAAGAGGAGAGUGGAAUUCCACGUGUAGCGGUGAAAUGCGUAGAGAUGUGGAGGAACACCAGUGGCGAAGGCGACUCUCUGGUCUGUAACUGACGCUGAGGAACGAAAGCGUGGGGUGCAAACAGGAUUAGAUACCCCCGUAGUCCCUGUCUCUUAUAC